AUUAUUCAUUUGAAUAGCUUUGCUAAAGUUUCUGAAGGAAUAUACUGCAGUCCUUCUGGUGGCUGUUAAUCCUGUAAACAGCUUUAAAAUUGUUAUCAGUGGACUUCAGAACAGCUUUUAAUGUUGUGAACUGUCUUCAAACAGGCCCAUCUUCUCAUAGCAGAUAUAUGGAACUUUUUCUUCAUGUUUCACCUUACCCUAAGGUAUGAACUUACUCUUUCUAUCGUUUAUUUUUUAAAAGAACGAGUGACUAUUACAUUUGUAUGCAGGGUUUAAAAACAUGCUUUUAAAGGAAUAGUUUAUGUGAAAGUAAAUAGUGACAUAAUUUAGAUUUUUUUUUUUUUUUUUUUUAAAUGAACUAAUCCUGCAAUAUAAUAUUAAUAAGUAUAAUUAAUAUAAUACAACUUGUCAGCACUUUCACCUUAAGAUAAACCUUCAUAAUUUAUUUAUUUUUGAAUGUCAUGGAUUGGUGUGAUCUUGUGUGGUAAGGAAAUAUGAAACUGUUACUAUACGGCUUCUGAGAAUUCACAAGCUAAGAAGAAGGACAUGCUAUCUCAUGACACAAGAAAUUGGUAAACCACAAAACUGUUACUUGCCAACUCUCACAACUUUUGGUAUUUAUUAAAAGACUUUGCGAAGAGGAAGAUCUUGUUCUUCUAUAAGUCACAUUCACAUGGGUCAACAUAGGACAAUAAAAAGUGUUCCCAUUCAUAAUUUUCAGAUCUGUCUGAUCUGGAGAGGAUCCAACUGAUUAAUUUUGAGUCUUGUUUUUUUUAUUUAUUUGUUUAUUUUUAUUUUUAAUGUUCAUACUGUAUGAACAUAUUUGCUCAGUUCCAAAACCUAAUGAGCUACUUAAAGAUGCAAUAAGAGAUUCUCUUCAGAAACAUUUUUGUUAUGUUGGUUGAAAGUCUCCUCAUAUCCUGAUGGCAAUCACUAUGUUAAGCGGUCUAAAUGUAUGUUUAAAAAUAUAUAUCAACUGUGGAAGGCGUAGGACCGUAAAAUGUUUUUACUUUCCUUCUGAUCCGACAGCACUGGAAAAGUAUCGACCAAAAGAAAGACAGUCUGGCCUACAAUAAAAAAAGGCUGGAUCAUAAGAGAGGUAAAACCCUGAAUUAAUAUCGGCGUUGCUUUUCCACGCUGGAGACAGCUGCGGGAGUCAAAGGGAAGGAUGAUGCCAUGGUUGCAGUAUUUCUUUUGGACAGGGAACAGAGGGUGAACUUCAGAUCUUUCCCACCAUCCAUCUUGCACCAGUAUGAGUUUUCCUCAAAGACUUCAAAGACCAGCCCAGAACGUCCUCAGAUGAGUGAUCUUCCUAAACCUGGCCAGGCUCAACCAGUCUCAGCUCAACUCUGCCUGACCUUACAUGCCUUUUUCACACCAGCUGUCAGCGCACAUGCAAACGCCCUGCCAGCUUGCUAACGGAAACCUGCCUGAUCCACAUGGAGAAAAUUGCAGUUCUCAAGGAAUACUUGAAUCUUGAGACAUCACACAGAACAGCAUGCAAGGAAUGAAGAAGAGUUGAGCCACUCAACUCUAAAAGGUUUGUCCUUCCAUUAAUAAUUUCACCAAUAUAUAUUUGUAUUUGUUUGUAUAUUUGUAGUCCCCAGGUAUUUUGUGUUUGAGACCUCUCAUUCAAUGCAAGCUGUUCCUUCAAUAUUAGCUAUUUCUUCAAUGCAUGGAUGUCAUAGUAGUGGCUUGAAUCGUGGGUAAAAGUCUGAGUAUUUCUUCACACUGUGGUUCGGAAGAAGGCAGCGACAGUUACUUGUCAUAUAAAUCUUUGGGAGAGACCUUGAUGACUGUGGAAACUGUGUCUUGCGGCACAAGGGCAGCCAUUUUGGAUCUCGGUCACAUCCGAUUUCAUGAAUGGACCACUGUAGGUAAUGAAGGAUGUGUGAAAUCAGAAAGAAGCCAGCUCCCUAAAGCCGGAGAGGGUCUGGCUUGUGGAUGGGCCUUCCUGUUUGGUGGUUGUCUCACUACUGGCUCUGUGUCCUGUAAGUUAACAGUUUCUUUCAGAAAAGAGGAUGUUAGACCACAGGGGGAAGUGUGAAAAGGAACUGUAUCAUUCGAAAAAAGUGAGGGAGGGGGAUUCAAAAAGUGAAGCGCAAGCAGAGUUUAAUCGUAUGUACAAUUACUAAAAGAGUGAAUUGUGAAAUUCAAGACUAUAUGAUAACAUACUUCCACCUUAUGGUUCCUUUGUGUGUAUUAUGAAAUAUUGCUGAGCUCAUUCAUGUACUGUAUCAUGCAAUUGGGCUCUGAGGUUUGUGCAACACUUCCCAAACCUGUGGUCCAACAAACCGAUGAAGCAACUAUUCAUUGAUAAACUCUAUAAUUCUCUCAUAUUUUGAAAGCAACACUGCAGAUUUUACUUGUGAAACUCUUGUUAGCAUUAUAACCGUGUGUGCUGUAAGUUUACACUUUUGUGUUCUUGAACAUUCAUUUAGUUGGUAUUUUGAUUUUCUAAUCUGACUAUAGAAUGAGACAAAAAGUUGGCUUACAUGACCAGCAUUCGGGUUAUUUUCUUGACUCCUCAACCCCCAUGGUACAGACAUUGAACGUGGCAUAGUUGUUGGUACCAGACGGGCUAGUCUGAGUAUUUCAGAAACUGCUGAACUACUGGGAUUUUCAUGCACAACCAUCUCUAGGGAUUACAGAGAAUGGUUUGAAAAAGAGAAAAUAUCUAGUGUGCGGCAGUUCUGUGGGCUAAAAUGCCUUGUUGAUGCCAGAGGUCAGAGGAGAAUGGCAAGACUGGUUCGAGCCGAUAGAAAGGCAACAGUAACUACUUGUUAAUACCAAGGUCUGCAGAAGAGCAUCUCUGAACACACAAAAUGUUGGACCUUGAAGCAGAUGGGCUAUAGCUGAAGACCACACUGGGCACUACACCUGUCAGCUAAGAACAGGAAACUGAGGCUACAAUUCACACUGGCUCACCAAAAUUAGACAAUAGAAGAUUGAAAAAAACGUUGCCUGUUCUGAUGAGUCUUGAUUUCUGCUGCGAAAUUCAGAUGGUAUGGUCGGAAUUUGGCGUAAACAACAUGAAAGCAUGGAUCCAUCCUGCCUUGUAUCAGUGGUUCAGGCUGCUGCUGGUGGUGUAAUUGUGGGGAAUACUUUCUUGACACACUUCUUGGGCCCCUUUGUACCAGUUGAACAUUGUUUAAACGCCACAACCUAUCUAAGUAUUGAUGCUGAUCAUGUCCAUCCCUUUAUGACUACAGUAAGUCCAUCUUCUGAUGGCUACUUCCAGCAGGAUAACAUGCCAUGUCACAAAGCUCAAAUCAUCUCAAACUGGUUUCUUGAACAUAACAAUGAGUUCACUUUACUCAAAUGGCCUCCACAGUGUCCAGAUGUCAAUCCAAUAGAGCACCUUUGGGAUGUGGUGGAAUGGGAGAUUCGCAUCAUGGAUUGCAGCUAACAAAUCUGCAGCAACUGCAAAAUCUCUGAGGAAUGUUUCCAGCACCUUGUUGAAUCUAUGCCACAAAGAAUUAAGGCAAAAGGGGUUCCAACCCGGUAUUAGCAAGGUGUACCUAAUAAAGUGGCCGGUGAGUGUCUAAGAGACAAUUAAAGGGUUAAUUCACCCAAAAAUUAAAUUUCUGUCUUUAACUACUCACUCUCCUCCUUGUCAUUCUCCUAUGCUGUUUAUGUUCAGCACUU
This is a long non-coding RNA of Ctenopharyngodon idella (grass carp), 3648 nucleotides long. RefSeq lists it as uncharacterized. The record is from RefSeq and is a predicted model, not a curated record. The transcript is spliced from 3 exons. Lineage: Eukaryota; Metazoa; Chordata; Actinopteri; Cypriniformes; Xenocyprididae.